GCUAGCUUCCAUGGCCCCCAAGUCAGGUUCCCCAGCACAGCACACAGCCUCAGAGUCACAGGUCUCCUAGCUGGCAGUCCGUGCAGCAAUCCUGACCCUCUCUGCCAGGCCUGUAGGCCUCUGCUCUUGUCCUACAGACGGCUCUUUCCAAGCAAAUUUCUUGGCUGCACGUGGGCCUUCUUCCCAAAUGCAUUCACUUGUGCAUUUGUUCUUUUAACAAAGAUUUCAUGAGAGCCCAUUUUGUGCCAGGCACAGUUCUGGGCACCGGAGAUAUAGUAGAGAAGCAACCAGGCACGGUCUGUGCUUUUAGGACUUAGGCUCUGGGUGGUCCGGGACAAACUAAGCCUGUCACUGCAGUGAGCACAACAGAGGAAAUGAAGGGAGGAUGCGGUAGAGGGAAACCACGGGAGGGGACUGCGUGGCCUUGGACAGAGCGGCCAGGAUGGCCUGUCUAAGGAGAGCCGGACGAUGAAAAGGGGCCCAAGGAAAGCCUGUCUGGAGAGAGUGCGGGCAAAGGCUCCAAGACAGAGGGUGGUCUCGGGGGGGCAAACAAGCCCGGGGGCGGGUGAGAGUGGGAGAGAAUGAUGCGGGCAGAGGCUCAGUGACGGCGGCUGGAAAGCCUAGAUAAGAAGUUUGGAGACGAUUACAUGUCAGUUGGAAGUUGAAUCGGAAGAAAUCUUAUUUACAUUUUGAAAAUUUCCCUUUAGCUGCUGUGUGGAGACAGGAUGGGAGAAACAGGCCGUUCGCGGGAAGCACAAGCCUGCAAGGAUGAAUCCCAGCUCAGCUGCCAAGCUGUCUGCUAGACCCUGGACUUCCAAGCAUCAGCAAGUUACCCCCUCAUCUAUGGGAUGGGAACUUCCCCAGCGACAGUUUGGAACACGGGAGUAUAAUUAGGUCCUGUCUUCAAGGAGUUCACCACAGAACGCGGGGAUUUGCAUCAUGCAGGAGAUGGAAGGAUUGAAUGCCAAGCAGAGCACCUUCCAUCCUAACUGCAGAGCCGGGAACUGCCCAAACAAAGCCUGCUCCCGCCUGCAGAUUCCUCCCGCCUGCAGAUCCCACCCGCCUGCAUCUCCUCAACCUCCUUCCCAGCCCUCUCAGCGGGUGCAAACACCCCCUUUUCCUGCUUCAGCAACCCUCCCACCUCUGCGCCCAGGGACCUUUCCCAUCCCUUCUCCCCUCCUUUUCUUUCUUUCUUUUUUUUUCUGAAGCAGCUUACUGAAGAUACCAGCUCCAUACAGUAAAAUACACUCAUUUUCAGCGUACCUCUUGUUGAGUCUUGACACAGCAUACAACCCCGCACCCACCACCCUAACCAAGGGUAGAGCCUUCCCAUCACCCCCUAAAUUUCCAGGGGCUCUUUCUCAGUCCAUCUCCGCCUUUGUCCCCCAGCCCCAGGCAACCACCAGUCUUCCUUCUCUCACUAUUGUUUAGU
Molecule: long non-coding RNA, 1432 nt
Organism: Manis javanica (Malayan pangolin)
Lineage: Eukaryota; Metazoa; Chordata; Mammalia; Pholidota; Manidae
Source: RefSeq, a predicted model, not a curated record